GAGCACUGCGCUAUCCCCUUCUUCAACAUGGAGCCAACGUGAAAAAUCCUACAUUAUUCCAGGCUCAAGACUGGGAACAGAUAAGAGAAGAGGGAGGAGGAGAUCGCACAGAGGUUUACUUGAAAAUAUGGCUGCUACAUCUUCAUGGAACCUUAUGUUCACUCCAAACCCUCCAUCUCCUUCCUCUCUCUCAUGGAAACUCUCUUUCCCCUCUCCUUUCACCUCCGCCCACUUUCAACGCCGCCAUAACAGAAACGCUGAAAGAUUCCUACUCUUUGCCUCCAUGAUGGACGCCAAACCCACCGUCCUUGUCGCUGAGAAGCUCGGAGAUGCUGGUCUGGAGCUCCUCAAAACAUUUUCCAACGUUGACUGCUCUUACAACCUUAGCCCGGAGGAAUUGUGUACUAAAAUCUCACUCUGUGACGCGUUGAUUGUGAGGAGUGGAACUAAGGUUACACGCGAGGUGUUUGAACGUUCUAGUGGGAGACUUAAGGUUGUGGGUCGAGCUGGCGUUGGAAUUGAUAAUGUUGAUUUGUCUGCAGCUACGGAACAUGGAUGUCUGGUAGUCAAUGCGCCUACAGCGAAUACGAUUGCAGCUGCGGAGCAUGGGAUUGCGUUGCUUACUUCCAUGGCUAGAAGUAUAGCGCAAGCUGAUGCGUCCGUUAAAUCUGGCAAGUGGCAGAGAAGCAAAUAUGUAGGAGUGUCGCUUCUGGGGAAAACACUUGCUGUGAUAGGGUUUGGAAAAGUUGGAUCAGAAGUUGCUAGGCGUGCCAAGGGUCUUGGUAUGAAUGUGAUUGCACAUGAUCCUUAUGCUCCUGCAGACCGGGCGCAUGCCAUAGGUGUGGAGUUGGUGCGCUUCGAAGAAGCCAUAUCAUCAGCUGAUUUCAUAUCUCUGCAUAUGCCUCUUACCCCUGCUACAUCA
RNAcentral lists this unclassified non-coding RNA (922 nucleotides) under Hevea brasiliensis (rubber tree). The record is from RNAcentral. Lineage: Eukaryota; Viridiplantae; Streptophyta; Magnoliopsida; Malpighiales; Euphorbiaceae.